UGGCGAACGGGUGAGUAACGCGUGAGGAACCUGCCUCAAAGAGGGGGACAACAGUUGGAAACGACUGCUAAUACCGCAUAAGCCCACGACCCGGCAUCGGGUAGAGGGAAAAGGAGCAAUCCGCUUUGAGAUGGCCUCGCGUCCGAUUAGCUAGUUGGUGAGGUAAUGGCCCACCAAGGCGACGAUCGGUAGCCGGACUGAGAGGUUGAACGGCCACAUUGGGACUGAGACACGGCCCAA
Molecule: ribosomal RNA, 240 nt
Filed under: uncultured bacterium
Lineage: Bacteria
Description: partial 16S ribosomal RNA
Rfam family: Bacterial small subunit ribosomal RNA
Source: RNAcentral